CCAGCGGGGAGAUGAAGCUGCCCGCAUCGCUUGUCUUGGCUGCCUCUCAGCUGACACUGCUGACAGGCUGCUUUGAUCUCAGGUUAUCAGGGCUAACCCUGUGCCCUGGGCCUGCUCUGCCAGCCCCGAGUCACUCAGCUGUCGGGAGCUAUGUCAACAUGUCAGUCUGGUUGAGCAAACAAGCAUUUUGAGUGGAAAUAUUUCAGAUAAACAGACACAAUGUUAUGACAUAUCAA
Molecule: long non-coding RNA, 236 nt
Filed under: Homo sapiens (human)
Lineage: Eukaryota; Metazoa; Chordata; Mammalia; Primates; Hominidae
Description: HSALNT0195326
Source: RNAcentral